AAGGGUAUAGCUCAGUGGUAGAGAGCAUGCCUAGCAUGCACAAGAUCCUGGAUUCAAUCCCCAGUACCUCCA
RNAcentral lists this transfer RNA (72 nucleotides) under Camelus bactrianus (Bactrian camel). It matches the Rfam family "tRNA". From Rfam's summary of the family: Transfer RNA (tRNA) molecules are approximately 80 nucleotides in length. Their secondary structure includes four short double-helical elements and three loops (D, anti-codon, and T loops). RNAcentral also lists the same sequence under 2 other names. Lineage: Eukaryota; Metazoa; Chordata; Mammalia; Artiodactyla; Camelidae. The record is from Rfam by way of RNAcentral.